GUUAUAGGGUCAAGCGAACAAGUGCAUGUGGUGGAUGCCUUGGCGAUCACAGGCGAUGAAGGACGCGGUAGCCUGCGAAAAGCGACGGGGAGCUGGCAAACGAGCUUUGAUCCGUCGAUGUCCGAAUGGGGAAACCCACCUCUUUUGAGGUAUCCGUGACUGAAUACAUAGGUCACGAGAAGCGAACGCGGUGAACUGAAACAUCUAAGUAACCGCAGGAAAAGAAAUCAACCGAGAUUCCCAGAGUAGUGGCGAGCGAAAUGGGACCAGCCUGUACUCUUUAUCUUCAUUGUUAGUCGAAGGCUCUGGAAAGUGCCGCCAUAGCAGGUGAUAGCCCUGUAGACGAAAACAGCGAGGAAGAACUGGGUGUACGACAAGUAGGGCGGGACACGUGAAAUCCUGUCUGAAGAUGGGGGGACCAUCCUCCAAGGCUAAAUACUCGUGAUCGACCGAUAGUGAACCAGUACCGUGAGGGAA
Molecule: ribosomal RNA, 477 nt
Filed under: Paraburkholderia polaris
Lineage: Bacteria; Pseudomonadati; Pseudomonadota; Betaproteobacteria; Burkholderiales; Burkholderiaceae
Description: Paraburkholderia sp. RP-4-7 partial 23S ribosomal RNA
Rfam family: Bacterial large subunit ribosomal RNA
Source: RNAcentral